This is a long non-coding RNA of Drosophila biarmipes, 475 nucleotides long. RefSeq lists it as uncharacterized. The transcript is spliced from 2 exons. The record is from RefSeq and is a predicted model, not a curated record. Lineage: Eukaryota; Metazoa; Arthropoda; Insecta; Diptera; Drosophilidae.
CAGACCCCAAGAAAAGAGUUAGCCGCUUAUUUGCCUUUCGCUUACUCCUAUAAGAGCUAGUGGUUUUUUUUGGUGUGACUACUAUGCUUAACCGCGAAAAACCAAAAUUUACAGUAAUUGAAUUUACACUAAAUUAAUAACUUAUCACAAAUAAUUUAUCAAACUUAAAAGUUAACUUGAGUUCUGAGUUAUAUCCAUUGAUGAUCUAAAUGUCGAUAUUGUUUAGCAUGUUUCCGAACACAGUAAGGAAUGGCGCUCCUGUUGUGGCCAAGUGAAUCAGAAGAUAAGCCUUCUAGUCCCAAGGGUCCCUUGGCAAGGGACACAACCCAAGCUCCGGAGAGCUGCCAACACGCUUCGAUUGACUCGAUUCGUUGCGUAGAGUAAAUUUAAGUUUUUAAAUGUGUAAUAGCUUUUAAUCGCUUCCUUAAAGUUCUAAGACAUAAACUGCCAACCAUUGUGCGAGUAUGUCCCUGUA